AACGAACGCUGGCGGCAUGCCUAACACAUGCAAGUCGAACGAGACCUUCGGGUCUCGUGGCGCACGGGUGCGUAACGCGUGGGAACCUGCCCUUAGGUUCGGAAUAACUCCCCGAAAGGGGUGCUAAUACCGGAUAAUGUCUUCGGACCAAAGAUUUAUCGCCUUUGGAUGGGCCCGCGUUGGAUUAGCUAGUUGGUAGGGUAAAAGCCUACCAAGGCGACGAUCCAUAGCUGGUCUGAGAGGAUGAUCAGCCACACUGGGACUGAGACACGGCCCAGACGCCUACGGGAGGCAGCAGUGGGGAAUAUUGGACAAUGGGCGAAAGCCUGAUCCAGCAAUGCCGCGUGAGUGAUGAAGGCCUUAGGGUUGUAAAGCUCUUUUACCCGGGAUGAUAAUGACAGUACCGGGAGAAUAAGCUCCGGCUAACUCCGUG
RNAcentral lists this ribosomal RNA (433 nucleotides) under uncultured bacterium. Its description in RNAcentral is "partial 16S ribosomal RNA". It matches the Rfam family "Bacterial small subunit ribosomal RNA", at positions 29 to 507 of the family's 1533-position model. The record is from RNAcentral.